Molecule: ribosomal RNA, 497 nt
Filed under: uncultured bacterium
Lineage: Bacteria
Description: partial 16S ribosomal RNA
Rfam family: Bacterial small subunit ribosomal RNA
Source: RNAcentral
GACGAACGCUGGCGGCGUUCCUAAUACAUGCAAGUUGAGCGCUGAAGGUUGGUACUUGUACCAACUGGAUGAGCAGCGAACGGGUGAGUACCGCGUGGGGAAUCUGCCUUUGAGCGGGGGACAACAUUUGGAAACGAAUGCUAAUACCGCAUAAAAACUUUAAACACAAGUUUUAAGUUUGAAAGAUGCAAUUGCAUCACUCAAAGAUGAUCCCGCGUUGUAUUAGCUAGUUGGUGAGGUAAAGGCUCACCAAGGCGAUGAUACAUAGCCGACCUGAGAGGGUGAUCGGCCACAUUGGGACUGAGACACGGCCCAAACUCCUACGGGAGGCAGCAGUAGGGAAUCUUCGGCAAUGGACGAAAGUCUGACCGAGCAACGCCGCGUGAGUGAAGAAGGUUUUCGGAUCGUAAAACUCUGUUGGUAGAGAAGAACGUUGGUGAGAGUGGAAAGCUCAUCAAGUGACGGUAACUACCCAGAAAGGGACGGCUAACUACGUG